UACGGAGGGUGCAAGCGUUGUCCGGAAUCACUGGGCGUAAAGGGCGCGUAGGCGGCUCAUGAAGGCUGUGGUGAAAGUCCGGGGCUCAACCUCGGAUCGGCCGUGGCGACUCGUGGGCUGGAGCACUGUAGAGGCGGGUGGAAUUCCGGGUGUAGCGGUGGAAUGCGUAGAGAUCCGGAAGAACACCCGUGGCUAAGGCGGCUCUCUAGUACGGUACUGACGCUGAGACGCGAAAGCGUGGGGAGCGAACAGG
This 253-nucleotide ribosomal RNA is filed under the name uncultured bacterium. Its description in RNAcentral is "partial 16S ribosomal RNA". It matches the Rfam family "Bacterial small subunit ribosomal RNA", at positions 524 to 776 of the family's 1533-position model. The record is from RNAcentral.